GAUGAACGCUGACAGAAUGCUUAACACAUGCAAGUCUUUGGCGAAUCUGUGCUUGCACAGGCUAGCCAAGGCGGACGGGUGAGUAACGCGUAAAGAACUUGCCCUGCAGACAGGGAUAACAGACGGAAACGACUGAUAACACCUGAUACAAUUGCCGGCACGCAUGUGCCUGGCAAUGAAAAGAGAUGCUGCGGGAGAGCUUUGCGUCCUAUUAGCUUGUUGGUGAGGUAACGGCUCACCAAGGCGAUGAUAGGUAGCCGGCCUGAGAGGGUGAACGGCCACAAGGGGACUGAGAUACGGCCCUUACUCCUACGGGAGGCAGCAGUGGGGAAUAUUGGACAAUGGGGGCAACCCUGAUCCAGCAAUUCUGUGUGCACGAAGAAGGUUUUCGGAUUGUAAAGUGCUUUCAGCAGGGAAGAAGAAAGGACGGACCUGCAGAGAGCGCGCAAUC
Molecule: ribosomal RNA, 451 nt
Filed under: Leptotrichia sp. oral taxon 225
Lineage: Bacteria; Fusobacteriati; Fusobacteriota; Fusobacteriia; Fusobacteriales; Leptotrichiaceae
Description: bacterial SSU rRNA
Rfam family: Bacterial small subunit ribosomal RNA
Source: RNAcentral